AUGUCCUCCACAUCAACUAACAGCCAAGAGAAAAUGUUUCAGCAUGCACAGAAAAACCAAUUCAGUAAAAGGUCUUCCUCAAAACAUGAGUUGCAACAUCACAAUGCAGGAAAAGAUAGGGGAUUGAUUCAUCUUCACAGAAGCACACAGGACAAACCUAAUUAUGGCGUGCAGAGAAAACCCUCUCCUGACCUGAUCAUCCUUAGUAGCCAACUGGCUUAG
Non-coding RNA from Vicia faba (fava bean), 222 nucleotides. NCBI's taxonomy places the organism in Eukaryota, Viridiplantae, Streptophyta, Magnoliopsida, Fabales, Fabaceae. The record is from the annotation of a GenBank genome assembly.